RNAcentral lists this ribosomal RNA (249 nucleotides) under uncultured bacterium. RNAcentral describes it as "partial 16S ribosomal RNA". It matches the Rfam family "Bacterial small subunit ribosomal RNA", at positions 796 to 1041 of the family's 1533-position model. The record is from RNAcentral.
CACGCCGUAAACGAUGAGCGCUAGGUGUUGGGGGUAUUGACCCCCCCAGUACCGCAGCUAACGCGUUAAGCGCUCCGCCUGGGGAGUACGGCCGCAAGGCUAAAACUCAAAGGAAUUGACGGGGACCCGCACAAGCGGUGGAUGAUGUGGUUUAAUUCGAUGCAACGCGAAAAACCUUACCCACCUUUGACAUGGUCGGAACCCUUUAGAGAUAGAGGGGUGCUCGAAAGAGAGCCGAUACACAGGUGC